UGCAUCAAUAUCUAUGUGUGGGUGAAUUUGAAAGACAUGGAACUCCCAAAUUUCACUAUGCAUCUAAUUUAAGUUUACAAUUUCAUUUUCUGUGGAAGUUAAGAACAAAGUUUAUGAGUUUUUUUGUUGUUGUUGGAUUUGAAGUUUAUGAGCUUUUGAGUCAAGUUUGAAUAACAACUCACACAUUAAGUUACAACUUCUCUCAUCACAUAAUCCAACCCAUAGAAACCCAUACUCAUCUUAUGCUUAACAUAUGUGAACCCCACCACUCUCCCCCUCGUCAUCUCCUCUUAACUUGCAACCCCAACAAAGUGGAAUUGAGGACAGUUAGAUUUUGCAGAAUUUUUUGGUCCUUAAAUUUUCUGCAACUUCAUUCCAAGACAUAAAUCGUAAAAAUUAAAAACUCUGUCUAACCCCAAAACCUUUAAGCACCUCACACAGUAGAAUCUUAGUCAUGUGUUUUUUAAGAAGUUAAAGAACUUGGUCUGAUCCGUUUAAGAAAAGGACUUGGUGUGGCGGUGGAAGGAAGAGACGAAGCAGAGAGAAGAACAUGGAACUGCAUCUACCACGGGCUAUAUCAGGUCAUAUUAGAAGGACCAUAUCAGGGGUACCCUAAUAAAUAUAUUCUAUAAUUCUUGCACAACAUUAUGGAACUUUCAUUUGCCAGUUUUACGUCAAAACUUCUGUUGUAAUACUUUACUUCUAAAGAUCAACCUGCUAAGUUGAAUAAUUGAAAUAAAAUGAAACUUGGAAAAUUGUCUGUUAAGUGGAUGAAUUGAAAGCAUAAGCAUCUACUUGAGCAAAUAAAUCAAAACCAAACUUUAUUCAAAAUGACUUGAAAUUAAACACUAAAACACGACAACAAGCGUAUCACCUCAAAUUUCAUUAGUGUAAUGAGGCUCGGUAAAGUCUACUAAGUAGCCUUCACCUUAGUUUGAGAAAUAGCUUCAACAAAGCAAGUGACAAAGUCAACACUAGCUUCAAAUUCACCAUCUACAACAUCAACUACAUACCAUCUGGCACAGAUACUUUAGCAGGGCCAUGUCCCAUAACCACAGAUAUAGUUUCCUUGUCUUGCUCACUUCUAAGAAAUGGUGGAAUGGAUAUUAAGAUGGCUUCACCCCUAUACAGUGACU
This 1136-nucleotide long non-coding RNA is filed under the name Medicago truncatula (barrel medic). RNAcentral describes it as "long non-coding RNA (MTRU_LNC005965)". Lineage: Eukaryota; Viridiplantae; Streptophyta; Magnoliopsida; Fabales; Fabaceae. The record is from RNAcentral.